AUUGAACGCUGGCGGCAGGCCUAACACAUGCAAGUCGAACGGUAACAGGAAGCAGCUUGCUGCUUCGCUGACGAGUGGCGGACGGGUGAGUAAUGUCUGGGAAACUGCCUGAUGGAGGGGGAUAACUACUGGAAACGGUAGCUAAUACCGCAUAACGUCGCAAGACCAAAGAGGGGGACCUUCGGGCCUCUUGCCAUCGGAUGUGCCCAGAUGGGAUUAGCUAGUAGGUGGGGUAACGGCUCACCUAGGCGACGAUCCCUAGCUGGUCUGAGAGGAUGACCAGCCACACUGGAACUGAGACACGGUCCAGACUCCUACGGGAGGCAGCAGCGGGGAAUAUUGCACAAUAGGCGCAAGCCUGAUGCAGCCAUGCCGCGUGUAUGAAGAAGGCCUUCGGGUUGUAAAGUACUUUCAGCGGGGAGGAAGGGAGUAAAGUUAAUACCUUUGCUCAUUGACGUUACCCGCAGAAGAAGCACCGGCUAACUCCGUG
Molecule: ribosomal RNA, 490 nt
Filed under: uncultured bacterium
Lineage: Bacteria
Description: partial 16S ribosomal RNA
Rfam family: Bacterial small subunit ribosomal RNA
Source: RNAcentral